ACGGGAGGCAGCAGUGGGGAAUAUUGCACAAUGGGGGAAACCCUGAUGCAGCGACGCCGCGUGAGUGAAGAAGUAUUUCGGUAUGUAAAGCUCUAUCAGCAGGGAAGAAGAUGACGGUACCUGACUAAGAAGCCCCGGCUAACUACGUGCCAGCAGCCGCGGUAAUACGUAGGGGGCGAGCGUUAUCCGGAAUUACUGGGUGUAAAGGGUGCGUAGACGGGACACUAAGUCUGAUGUGAAAUACCAAGGCUCAACUUUGGAACUGCAUCGGAAACUGGCGACCUAGAGUGCGGGAGAGGAAAGCGGAAUUCUCAGUGUAGCGGUGAAAUGCGUAGAUAUUGAGAGGAACACCGGUGGCGAAGGCGGCUUUCUGGACCGUAACUGACGUUGAGGCACGAAAGCGUGGGUAGCAAACAGGAUUAGAUACCCUGGUA
This 434-nucleotide ribosomal RNA is filed under the name uncultured Clostridium sp. RNAcentral's name for it is "partial 16S ribosomal RNA". It matches the Rfam family "Bacterial small subunit ribosomal RNA", at positions 341 to 792 of the family's 1533-position model. The record is from RNAcentral. Lineage: Bacteria; Bacillati; Bacillota; Clostridia; Eubacteriales; Clostridiaceae.